This 233-nucleotide non-coding RNA is filed under the name unidentified. Its description in RNAcentral is "Listeriaceae bacterium T-box sequence". It matches the Rfam family "T-box leader". From Rfam's summary of the family: Uncharged tRNA acts as the effector for transcription antitermination of genes in the T-box leader family. T-boxes are found upstream of many aminoacyl-tRNA synthetase genes and some amino acid biosynthetic genes usually in Gram-positive bacteria. The record is from RNAcentral.
AAAUGACCGAUGACGGAGAAAAGUAUGGCAGGCAUUUGCUAAAGCAGAGAGAUAGACCCUAGGGCUGAGAGGUUUAUCAAUAGUUGAAAUCGCCAGAAGGACACUCCAGAGGAUCUUUGCUGAAAAAGCCACCGUGCUUAGUAAGUAAAGACGUUGACAGGCGUUAACUGUUUUGAGUGGGGGAAUUUUUCCUCAAUUUAGGGUGGUACCACGGGUUAACUCUCGUCCCUUGU